UGGGGAAUAUUGGACAAUGGGGGCAACCCUGAUCCAGCCAUGCCGCGUGAGUGAUGAAGGCCUUCGGGUUGUAAAGCUCUUUUGGCGGGGACGAUGAUGACGGUACCAUUUAUAAGCUCCGGCUAACUACGUGCCAGCAGCCGCGGUAAUACGUAGGGAGCAAGCGUUGUUCGGAUUUACUGGGCGUAAAGGGCGCGUAGGCGGCGCGGUAAGUCACUUGUGAAAUCUCUGAGCUUAACUCAGAACGGCCAAGUGGUACUGCUGUGCUAGAGUGCGGAAGAGGCAACCGGAAUUCUUGGUGUAGCGGUGAAAUGCGUAGAUAUCAAGAGGAACACCUGAGGCGAAGGCGGGUUGCUGGGCCGACACUGACGCUGAUGCGCGAAAGCCAGGGGAGCAAACG
Molecule: ribosomal RNA, 400 nt
Filed under: uncultured bacterium
Lineage: Bacteria
Description: bacterial SSU rRNA
Rfam family: Bacterial small subunit ribosomal RNA
Source: RNAcentral